ACCAGACUCCUACGGGAGGCAGCAGUGGGGAAUAUUGCACAAUGGGGGAAACCCUGAUGCAGCGACGCCGCGUGAGUGAAGAAGUAUUUCGGUAUGUAAAGCUCUAUCAGCAGGAACGAGACAAGACGGUACCUGACUAAGAAGCCCCGGCUAACUACGUGCCAGCAGCCGCGGUAAUACGUAGGGGGCAAGCGUUAUCCGGAAUCACUGGGUGUAAAGGGAGCGUAGACGGCUGUGCAAGCCUGAAGUGAAAGGCGGGGGCCCAACCCCUGGACUGCUUUGGGAACUGUACGGCUGGAGUGCAGGAGAGGUAAGUGGAAUUCCUAGUGUAGCGGUGAAAUGCGUAGAUAUUAGGAGGAACACCAGUGGCGAAGGCGGCUUACUGGACUGUAACUGACGUUGAGGCUCGAAAGCGUGGGGAGCAAACAGGAUUAGAUACCCCUGUAG
RNAcentral lists this ribosomal RNA (447 nucleotides) under uncultured bacterium. RNAcentral describes it as "bacterial SSU rRNA". It matches the Rfam family "Bacterial small subunit ribosomal RNA", at positions 330 to 793 of the family's 1533-position model. The record is from RNAcentral.